RNAcentral lists this ribosomal RNA (483 nucleotides) under uncultured bacterium. Its description in RNAcentral is "partial 16S ribosomal RNA". It matches the Rfam family "Bacterial small subunit ribosomal RNA", at positions 30 to 507 of the family's 1533-position model. The record is from RNAcentral.
UUGAACGCUGGCGGCAGGCCUAACACAUGCAAGUCGAGCGGAUGAAGGGAGCUUGCUCCUGGAUUCAGCGGCGGACGGGUGAGUAAUGCCUAGGAAUCUGCCUGGUAGUGGGGGAUAACGUCCGGAAACGGGCGCUAAUACCGCAUACGUCCUGAGGGAGAAAGUGGGGGAUCUUCGGACCUCACGCUAUCAGAUGAGCCUAGGUCGGAUUAGCUAGUUGGUGGGGUAAAGGCCUACCAAGGCGACGAUCCGUAACUGGUCUGAGAGGAUGAUCAGUCACACUGGAACUGAGACACGGUCCAGACUCCUACGGGAGGCAGCAGUGGGGAAUAUUGGACAAUGGGCGAAAGCCUGAUCCAGCCAUGCCGCGUGUGUGAAGAAGGUCUUCGGAUUGUAAAGCACUUUAAGUUGGGAGGAAGGGCAGUAAGUUAAUGCCUUGCUGUUUUGACGUUACCAACAGAAUAAGCACCGGCUAACUUCGUG